UUGGAUUAAACAAUUACAAAGGAAAUUAAUAACGAAACAUAAACAAGGGAUGACCCUUAGCUUGGAUUUUAUUUACUUUGUACAUGUAAUACAAACCAUAUAUAUAGCUUAUAGAAAUACAAAAGCAAAGUAGCAAAGAUACAUAUUCAACCCCACGAAAAUGACUUCAAAACAAAAUAAAACUUUACUUCACACAACAAAUUAAGAAGCCACACUUGAACACUUAAUUCAUGUGGGAUUCAAUGUCCUUAGUGAUACCAUUCAUGAGGUCAAUAUACUUGUAAGGAUAAGAAGACCCAUCAUUAAGUUUCUCAUACUCUAUAGUCAGAAUUGCCUGGCAAUGGUUAGGACCCUUGGGCACAACUUGGUAAGCUGGCUUAAAGCUUUUAUAAUGGUUGAACACAUCUCCUUCCAGCCCAACCAAGAUUAUCAACAAUUUAUCAUCAUGAAACUCGACCUGUUCCUUGAAAACUUCUGCCUUGCCAUCUUGCAAAUCAAAUACAAGAAAGAAAGAGAUCGAUUUUUUUUCCCUCUAUGUUAGUCAUGAAAAUAAAGACCAAAAGAAAAAAGAAAAAGAAGAAGGUGAUUUUAUGCAUACCAACAGUGUAAUACCAAGUCUUGAUAGAGCCAUGGUCAUGGUCAUCCCAGUUAGCAUCAUGGAUUUCAACUUGUUGAAUGAAUUUGGGGGUUAUAUUGGGAACAUGAAAACAUUGAUGUUUGAAUAUUUUGUAAAAUUUCUCAGCAGGUGCAUUGAUCUCUAAUUCACUCACAAGCUUUCCAAUUAGAGACAUGAUUCAAAACCUUCUAUCUCUAGAUAGAGAAAAAAUGGCUCACUCACUCAAUAAUAUUAAUGUUGAUCUAGUAAUUCUCCAUUCCUAACCCUUACCCUUUUUAUACACAAAGUUUUUGAUCUACUAAUAACUAUUUUGUACCAUUAGGUAUAAUGCAUUAUAUAAUUAAAUUUGACUUUUUUUUCAUUAUCAUUAUGGUGGUAGAGACCCACAUUGUAUAGCAUUAUUUUCUUUGGAUAAAAAUAAUAAUAUUAGUGUGCAUUAGAACAUUUAUUUAUUAAAUAUUAUACCAAUAAAAAAAUUAUCUCCAAUAAAAAAAUUGACAAUAUAUUUGUACCUUACCCAAAAAUCAAAGAUAAUGAAUAUUAUCUUUUAAUAGUUUUUUCUUUAUACAAAGUUGAUAUAGUUUAUUGAUUUGUCUAUUUUUGAAAAAAAAAAAAAACUGUAUAAAUAAAUUAAUAUAAUAAAAAUAAACCACAUUAGCAAGGGAGGAUAAAAGCUCUCAUUUACCAAAAAGUUUGGAAUAAUAAGGUUAAAGUUACUUGAGACUAUUUUAAAUCAUUGUUCACUUAAGAGACUAAAUUAAAGGACACACUUAUUAAAUUUAUUGAACUUAGCCAGAAAAACUUUAUCUGUUAAGUAUUAAUAAAUUUUUAGUUUAUAUUCUAUUAGUAAAAAGUGUUAAGUAUACUACUUUAUUAGACAUAUAAAUAGAGUCAACUAUACUAUCUUAGUUGACACGUAAAAAGUAUCAAAUUUGAUAUCUUAGUUGACACAAAAAUGAUGUUAAAAAAUAUAAUACUUGACGGUUUUUGAGUGUCAAGUAAUGGUACUAUACUUGACAGUCGAUUACUUGACGCUUUUUAAAACAUCAAGUAUAGGUUCACUUGACACCGUAUCAACGUCAAGUAAUCCAAUUUUUGUAGUAUGGAUCAUUUGUGAAAUAUUACAAAGUCUACUGUUGUUCGAUCUUUGUGAAAUAUUAAAAUGAAUUAGAAAAUAUUUAAAAUAAAUUUAUAUUAAAAAUAAUUAGACAAUACUUAAAUAUGUAUCAGAUGGCCCACAACAACUCCUGGUCGAAUGAUAUAGAGCCUCGUAAUAUUUUUAUACCAAAUAGAUAUAUUCCUAAGUUACAUCCAUAUCAAAUUGUCCAAUCAUAGGUACCAUAGCACUAAAUCUUCUGCAAUUUAGUCAUCUUCUUACCAAGCGUGCAACUCUAUAAGACCAAUUUGUAGUUCUCAGGUCAAUGUUGUGCAGAAGUGAUUCAAUAUUAUAGUCGAGAGAACAUCUUGUUUGAGAAAAAUUGUCUAAUGUUCUAUUAGCACCGAUGUGAAAACACAUUAGAGGACUAAUCGUCUCCCUUAUGUCUUGACUAUUCAUAAAGAAUUUGGGUAAACUAUCAUUGACUAUUUUGCAUGGCUCUCAAAUAAUCUAAAACGCAUAUUAAACGAAUAAUAAUAUGAAAUAAAUAAUAUUGAACUUAACAUUCAAGUUUAGCAUUGACAUACCUAAUCAGGUUGAAGAAGAUCAAACAUGUAUAUGUAGUGAGAUACUAUAUGUGUAGCUAACAUGGUUAUAUUUUGAUCUCUCCACUUAUAUUUUAGGUUUCAAAUUAACACAAGUAUGGUUAAUUCAAAUUAAAUUAAAAUAAUAUGUCUUGAACUGUAAGCUUAUCUAUGUAAUCGGUGAUAAUUAACAUGUCAGAGUUGUGGAGCUAUUUUUAAGAAUUGUUCCAAAGUCUAUAUUUAGUUUCACGCCGACUUGUCCCUCCUCAAACCGUCCAACUUGGUUUUGAUUGCCAUAACUUAGUCUGUUUGGUGCGUGAUCGCUUCUACCUUACCGUGAAACAUUGGUCUUUGGUGGUAAUUAGUGGUAAUAGUGGGUUUGACCAAUUAUGCAAUUGUAGUUUCCUUGAGUUGUAACAUUAGUUUAAUUGGUUAACUUGUUAUUCAAUCCUUGAAGGUGUUGGAAAUAGCGUUCGAGUUCUUAGAAUUCACAUUGAUUUUAGAUUUUAGUUGGAGUUCGAUUCUUCACUACUUGGGUAAGUUUAGAAUUCACAUUUGGGUGAUUUGAGUGAGAGAAAGUAUUAUGAAAGUGUUUGAUUUUUCAUUUAAUUAUGUUUAGGUUGCUUUGUUGGACUUUAAUUCGAUCAAGAAGCUUAGAUAACCGUAAGGUCAGGGGUUCUUACUACUCGACUCUAUAAUAAAUUUGGAAUGUAUUGACUGUAUGGAUUUUACUGAAUUGAGAUGGGUUAACUGAUAUGUGAGUUUAGAUAUGAUGACUGAACUGAGAGCAUUGAACUGACUGAAUUGAGAGUUGUUGACUGUUAUGUUAAUGUAUAGAUAGUGUAUUGUAGAUUGAAUUGACUUAACUGAGAUGAGUGAUGUUUAUGUAUAAGUAUAAUUAUUUGAGGAAUCGUUAUGCUAAUGUUUGACUAGGUACUGGUUUGCAUAAAUUGACUGUAUAUGUACUGAACUGAAAGAAUGAUAUGAUGGUAUCUUGAAUUGUAAAUUGAUCAAUUGACUAUUUAAAAUGUUAGAAUGGACAAAGGAGAAAUGUUAGCUUUAUCUAUAGGAUAGUGUGCCUUGCAGGUGUCCCACGGGAUCACUACUUGUUGUUCAUCCUUUGGAGCACUAGACUGAUAGGUGCAUUCUUCGGAAGCACUAGAUUGAUAGAUGCAUCCUUCGGGAGCACAAGAUUGAUAUAUGCAUCCUUUGGGAGCGUCCUACGAGAUCACGAGACUGUUAUGAUGCAGGGUACCAGCUCCUAAUAGGAAGUUAAUAAUUUUUAUUCUCACUCUUUUAUGUUUAACUUUUCAGACAAGGGUAAUACGAGAGACAGACCGACGAGGGACAAGAAGGAUGCGCGACUACCAUACACAAGGACCUAGCUUUUUCUAAAAAUUUGCUUCCGCUUAUGGUUUUUUUUAAAUUUUGUUUUCUGAUUGAACUAAGUUUAUGGACAGUCAUUUUGUAAACAGUACUUUUAGAAUUUGAUUUGUUUGAAAUAGGGCUCGAGCAACGUUUUUUUUUAUCGUUAUGAUUUAAAAUAAAUUUCACCAUACUUUGUGUCAAUCAAAGUGUUUUGUUUAAAAUAAUGAUUUCGACUUAGAUAGAAAAUUUGAGUUGUUAUAUAUGUACCACAAUUAAAGGACUAAAUUGAUAUAUACUUGAAAAUAUAAAAAACUAAAUUAUUACAUACUAAAGUUCAUGGACUAAAAUUGUUAUUUUUACAAAAGUUUAAAGACAAAGAGUGUUUUUUAUCAAAUAAGUAUUUUGAUUAUUUUUUCUAUAUUUAAAUACAUCCCACACACACAAAUAUAAAAAUAAGGUUAAUCUUCAUAAAUAUAACAAAACACCAAAAAAUUUAUGACUCGUGUAACAAAAUAAAAAAGCACAUGAUAUUUUCAUAAAUUUUAGGUUUGCCAAAUGAUUUUUCCCUCAUUUUUCUUCUUCUUAUUUGUGAUUUAUUCAAUUCCUCUUCGUAUUAUUAUUUUUUCUUCAAAUUAUUACUUAUUCUUCAAUUUAUAUUAUUAUGAUUAUUUAUGUAAAUAUUUACCAAUUUCUUCAUUUCAUCUUUUAGAAUGUCUUCUUUCUUCUUCACUUCAUAUCUUCUUUUUUUCUUCUUGAUACAAGAUUUAAAUGAUAUUGGACUCAACUCUUUAUACUAAGUUGAGAUCAUUACUAUUAAAUUAAAUAAAAAUGUUUUAAAAAUAAAUAAAUAAAUAAAUAAAAGAAGAUACUAAAUAUUUCAAUAAAAACCUCAAAUACUUAUUUAUAAAUCGUAGAUAAAUUAUGGUGAAAUAAAAAUAAAUGUGAAAUACUAGUUCUGACCCAAUUUAAAAUAAAAAGAAAAUAUCAUAAGAGUACUUAUGAGUUCUGAAUUUUAAAUAAAAUACAAUAAAUCAAAAUACUGAAAACAUAAAGGCGAACGCAAUCAUAAGCUUUUCUCCAUAGCAAACCACGAUCACUUCUUGUCAUUUGCUAACUUUGCUCUACCUCUACCUUUGUCUGAAAAAUUAAACAUAGAAAGAGCAUAAACAUAUACUGAGUAAGGUACCCACUACUAGUCCCGCUAGGUAUUUGUUAACUUUCAUAUGAUGUUUCAUUAUCUUGUUCUUCAUCUUCAGCUACUUCCUCUUCUUGUCCAUCUUUAUCUUCAUCCGUCUAAAUGUAACAAAAAAAAUGUUGUCAAAAUGAUUGUGCAAGAAAAUGUAAACGAUUGUUUACCAUUGUCAACACAAUCAUUUAGCACGACUAACACGAUCGUUUAGAUUUGACACAAUUUUCUCAUCGUUUAAAAAAAACUAUACAAUUGUAUGGAUAUGAUCUAAACGCUCGUUUAAAUUUGAAGCUUUUAUUCCAUUGUUUAAAAAGAACUACAUGAUCGUGUGGAUUUAAUCUAAAUGGUUGCUUAUCAUAGUCAACACGAUCGUUUAGAAUGGUCAACAUGAUCUUUUAGAUUUGAUAUAUUUUUUCUAUCGUUAAAAAGAAUCACAUAAUCAUAUUGGUACUACCUACAUGAUCGUGUAUCAUGAUCUUUUAGAUCGAGAAGAAUUACAAGCGCGUGUGUGAUUAAUGACAUGUUGACUGGGACAUUUUUUUUAUAUUUUUUUAUUAUGGACCUGUUGGCUUUUUCUUCAAAAUUUAUACAAUGAAAAUAUUUUGUCAGUGUUAUAUUUUUUUUAAAAAACCCUUUAAAUAAUUAAUUUAAAUUAAAUUGAACAAACAACUCUCUUACGUGAGAGUUAUUUAAGAAACAUGAGAUGCCUUUCCACGUAUUCCGAUCUCUCCCUAACUUUCUCUUUUUAUAUGAGAAAAAGGGAAGUAAGUAACACUCCACAAAUUUGGAAGAGAAGAGUGUCUGCUUAAUCUCUUAGAAGAAGGAAAUAAAAACUAAAUUUUGGUUCUCACAAGCUAAGAACUUCAAUCAAUUUUGGUUCUCACAAGCUAAGAACCUCAAUCACUUAGAGAAUAGUAGAGGUUUCAAGUGGUGGUGAUCUACAAUUCGGGGUUUUGUGUAAAUUUAGAGAAAACAAUGGAAGUAAGGUCUCCUCUCUGUAAUUCUAAUUAUAUAUUUAACCAAUUUAUUUAGUUUACAGUAAAUUACUUUUGUAAUUUACCAACGUAAAGGGUAUUUCUAAAUUUCCCAAUUAAAUUAAGUUUAAGGUUCGGCUAAAUUUGUCGACGCUUGAAAUCACCUGAGUAGUAAUUGUUAAGAUUUGUAUGGUAGGACUUCUAGCUCUUCUUGGGUCUUGGCUUGAGUCUUACAUGACCGCUUACAACUCAAUAAAAUUUUGUGCGCAUAAAGUUUAAUUAGGGGUUAGGGUUUUAAUUUUUAAUCAAUAAUUAUGAAAAAAAUCAAUUUAGGAAAAAAUCAAUUUAUCCUCUCAAAUUUGGGAGUUAUGUUAGAACCUUAAACUAAUAAUUGUAUCAAUUUUAACUCUAAAAUAUUAGAUGUAUCAAUUUAUACUUUACACGUUCAUAAAUAACUUUCAUAUAUAUAUGUAUGUAUCAAUUUAAAUUCCCAAUUUUCAUUAAUUUUAUAUUAUAUUAUUUUAACUAGAUUUUUGGGUUUGUUCCUGUCUCAAAAUUAAGUGUGUGUGAAGAAUAUAUUAGGAUAAAAUGAAUAGGUAGAAAAAGAGAAAAAUAAAAAAAUAAAAAAUAAAGAAAAAAGAAAUAGUGAGGCAUAGUUGAUUCUCACAUUACAAAUAUGUGUGAACAUGUUCUCUAAAGAAACGAAUUCCAAUUAAUAUUUUCUUAUUUUCAUUUAUUGAUUACGUUUGUGAGGAACCCUAAAUCUACACAUAAUUGUUGACCAUAUAAUUCUUAUUUAAACCAAACCAAAAAAAUAUUAGAAAAAAAGUGAUAGUUGCUACACCAUUUAUUUUCCUCACUUUCAUUCGCAAUUAAUAUUUAUAGGAAAAUAUAAACUAAAUGAUAUACAACUGGACGCAUGCAUAUAUAAAUUUCCUAACAAAAUUGGUUGUCUUUCCAAUUAUUAAUAAAAAAUCAAAUAUUAUUAAUCAUCUGACCCCAAAACUCAACCAAUCAAAUCAAAUCAAAUAUUUAAUAAAAAAAUCAAAUCAAAUAUUUAAUAAAAAAAUCAAAUCAAAUCAAAUAUUUAAUAAACAAAUGAGACUUGAACAACUCUAACAUUUAACGCUACAACGUCCGGUCUAACUUUAAACUUUUAUCUUUUAACUUAGCUCCAACUUGAUACUUAAACUACUAGACGACAAACUUUCACAAUGCAAUAUAACAAACCAACUUAUUUUAUUAACUUAACAACAUGUGUUCAAUACAUAAUACAUGCUUUCUUAAGUAGAGAGAACUAUAAUUAAAACUUCAAGCCCUCCAACGUCUGGUGAAACUUCUUGAAAUUCAAAUUUAAAAUGUUUGUCUAACGCCUUAAUGUAUAGCAGCUCGUCUUACCCUUCACAACUUGGCCUCAAUGCCUUUUUAUUUGAGGAAGGGAAACUUAAUACACAAGUCAAAUACUUAGUCAGUGAGGUUUUAGAAAUCAAGGAAAUUCAUUUUCAUAAACAAGUUCAUAAUGCCUCAUUCAAAACAUAAAACCACACAUUAGUCUUUCUUAUCCCUUUCGCUAAGAACAUGAACUAUUCUCACGCAAAGACUACUAUGAUUUCUCGCAUCAUCAACAUUCUUUGUAGAAUUUUCUGAUUCAUUUUUCGUUGCUCAAGCUGUUACACUACUACAAAAAUGAGUUUUAAUGAUACUACUAAUCAAGACACUGUGUCGUUCAAAAUAAAAAAAAAACAGUAGGGUGAGGUACAUUGUGUCGUUAAAAAUAAAAAUACGGUGUAUUUCUUGACACAAUUUAAUUUUUCUCGACACAAUUUUUCCGUUGUUUAUUAACGAAAAUUUUUUUGUGUCAUUAAAAAAAUUUCCAAAUGAAAAAACCCCAAAAUUGAUUUUUUUUUUUUUAAUUUUCCUCCCUCACGCAGUUAGAACUAAAUAAAAACCACAAAUUUUCUCUCAAGCAAAAAUUAUGCCGUCAAAGGAAGCCUUAACACAAUUUUUUUUGCUCUCUCUCUACCAAAUAUGCAAAAACAAUUCUGUUGAACAAAGUGGGUAUGCGUCCUUGUGAAGAACCCUGGCCUUCUAACUUUUUACCACCCGCCGCCAUCAAUUCCAAGCUUUAGCCAUUGUUGUCGUUGUCGUCACAAAUUUUCUCUCAAGGAAAAACGUUGCCGUCGAACAAAGCCUUAACACAAUUUUUUUUGCUCUUCCUCUCUAGCAAAAACACAAAAAAAAAUUCCUAUUGAACAAAGUGGAUACGUGUACACGUCCUUGUGAAGAACCCUUGCCUUCCAAUUUUCUGCCACAUGUCGCCAUCGAUUCCACACUCCAACCUCUGUUGUCGUUGUCCGGACAACAAGCCUUCGUUGUCAAACCCACCAAUCUAGCCACUACCGUCGAAUAAAUUUAUUUAGAAAUAUGAGUUUUAAAUAUGACACUUGAAAUAAAAAAAAAGGGACGGGAGGGAAUAAAAUGUGUCGUUAAAAAUAAAAAUGUGAAAUUUUUCGUGUCACAAUUUUCUCGACACAAUUUUUUUGUUGUUAAUUAAUGACAUAAAUUAUGUGUCAUUAAAAAUUGUCCUAAUAAAAAAUCAAUGUUUUCCUUCAUUUGUAUGCUUUCUGAUUUUAAAAAAAAAAUUUACGCUUUCAUCCCUCUUGCAAACCACGAUCGAAAAAAUCCUUACUUCAUCCCAUGUUGCCAUUGUCUUUCUCUUUCGCAAAUGCACUCCAGCAACGUUUCCCCCUCAUUCGCAAACGCUCUUCACGCCUUUCCCUCUCUCUCAAAAGCUCUUCACUCACCGUUUGAAGGAGCUCACCAAAUUUGCAGGUAGUUGAAGAAUCUGUGGACCAUGUGAUUGUUCGAGUCCAUUUAUGAGUUAGUUUGAUUAGAUUAUGUCACACAUACAUCUAUUAUAAUUAAUUUAUUAUUUGGAUUAUUGUAAAAUCUUUACCAACAAUGUAAUUUACAUUUUUUAUUAUCAAUAAUGAAAUCUUUCUAAACAUAUGUGGGUAAGUUGAAUCAUGUAUUUAAUUUAUUUAUAUCCAUCAUUUAUAUGUCAAAAAAUAUGUGUCGUAAAAUAGCUUUUCUUGACAGUAGCUUCAAUGCAUGACACAAAUUUCAUCAUCAAAACUCUUUAUGACGCAAAUUUUGUGUCGUUGAAGCCCUAAUUUGUACUUGUGUUAACUCAAUGUGCAUCGUUCAACGUAUUCACUAAAUUAUUAUAAAAUUGGUUUACAUGUAAGGAGAUCUACGUAUUUAAGGUAUACUUACUCUUUAAACGAAAAGCAUAUUUACUCUUUAAACUAAAAGCAAAGUGUUAUUUCCAACCCAAAAUUACAAGGACACUUCAAAAAAUAACAAAAAAAAUUUAUGAUAAUAGGAUUAAUGUCAUUGCAUUUUCUAAAUUGUAAAAGAAGUAAACUUAAAAGUCUAUAACCAUCUGAUAGUCGUCUGACAGCCAUUUGAUAGUUGUUUAAUAAUCGUUUGAUAUCAAUAAUUUUGUCAUAUUCGCAAUAUACAAAAAUAAGUACCAUGAACUAUUUUUUAAAAAUUGUUUUUGUCGCAAUUUUUCAAAUUAUAAAUAUGUGGUUACUUGUUUAUUUUUAGUGUUAGUAGUAACAUCCUAAUUCAUUUGUUUUGAGCUGAGAGGAUGUUGUUGACCGAUCCAAAUUCUCUCUAAUUUAUUAAAUUUAUAGAUAUAUUCUUCCUACACAGUUAUUUGAAUGUUGUUUUCAAAAUUGUUGUACGAUAGAUCCAAAUAAAGCAUGACGAGAACAAUAUUUUCAUUACAUCAACAUUUUGGAUUUAGAAUUUUAAGUUUUAAAAUACAAAAUUAUAUUAAACAAAGAUAAAACCGUUGAAAAAUAUAGUAUAUAAUGUCGUCGAUUUAAAUUUUAAAAUAAAAAUAUUUAUUAUGUAUUAACAUUACAAGUAAAGUUUUCUAUGCUUAAUUUUAAAAAUAAAAACAAAAAACAAAAUCUUACUAACUAAACAUCAAAUUUUCAGAUUUUUAUUUACAAAUUUUCUAUCAAAUAGUUCUUACCCUUUUGACAAUUUCUCAACGAAGUAUCAUUCAAACAAAACUUGUUAUUUGAAUGAACAAGGUCAACAUUUGUUAUAAAAGAAGAUACAUAAUGCAAAGUUAUUCUUUUAAGAAAAUCAAAGGUUAAAUAAACAAAUGUUUUGAAUUAAGUUAUAAUCAAAUCUAAGUUCGUCAUAAAAUAUGUAAUAUAAUAACAAAUAUGAUAUCAUAUCAAAUCAAGAAGAUCUUGCCUAUGAUUAUGGACAAACUAUUGUUUUAUUCAAGAAGAUCUUGCCUAUGGUUAUGGACAAACUGUUUUAUUCAAGUGUCACUUCAUUCAAGAUUUGUAAGAAAUUAAAAAGAUAUUUUGAAAACAAUGUAAGUUUGAAAAUAAUUAAACUAAAUUGGAAUGGGCAAAGUUGUAAAACAAGUUAACAAAUUAAAUUAAAAUGCAGAAAGUAAAGAUAGUGGUGAGAAGAGAGUAGUAGAUCAAAAAGUCCAAGAAAUUAAAAAUCUUAAUCUAACAGCCUAAUUAUCUUAUUCAGAAAAGUCAAUCAGCACCUUCAUGUUAUCAAACUUUUUAAUUAGCGUCAAUUUAGUUAAAGUAAACAUGUCAUUUGAGACAAUUAUAAAGGUUAAACAUGUCAGUUUAAUUAACCAAACACUUCACAGAAGGUUUAAACAAAAUAAUAUAAAGUUACAAAAUAGAUGUCCAUUACGUUUAGUGUAAAAAUGCUAUGUAUCACUUCCUCCACCAUCCCAUCUACAUUAUCACGUGUCUUGAAGAUACUAAUCCUUAAUGUCUAUGUAAUCUAUCUUAUGCUUGUCAAUUUUUCUAUAAAUGGUCGCAUUUUGUGAGUCUCGUAAGUUAUACACACAUAUUGGUGGAAAUUCAAAUAAAUUCAAAAUAGUGGAGGUUUUAGAAGAAAAAAAAUUGUUCUCAUAAUUUCUUAUUAUUUAUUUAUUUUAUUUUCUCGAUAUUCAUGUUCUUGUUGUGCCUAAGCUUUACAACAUGUUAUGUAACGACCUGAAUUGUCCAUAACCAAGUUGGGGUCAUUACUGAUCCAAUUAUCUUAACUAUCUAAAAACAAUAGUGGAAGCAUAAACCAACUAGUUCACUGGUCCUUCUCGCUCGCCAACUUGCCUUUUUUCUUACCUUUGUCUAAACAUAGAGAAAAAGAUGAGUAUAAAAAUACCUAGUAUGAGACCCACUAGUUGUCUCGCUAGGUGAUCUCUUAACUUUUUCAUUAUGAGAUACCAUAAAAUCUUGUGAACUCAAAAGAACACACGUGAUCUAGUGAUCCCAUAUGAACACUCACAAGUCUGGUAAUCCAAAAGAAGCAUACAAUAGACCAAACUGUGAAGUUAUCCCAUUGGACCACAUAUGAAACAUGGCAUGACUAAAUGACAGUCCUAUUGAGCGCACACAAUCCAUAUGACUGUGAAAGGUGAUCUUGAGAGAAACCAUAUAUUAUGUAGGUACAUGUCCUAAUAGUCAAAGUUAAAAGACAUCACACAGUUCAAAAGCAUGUAGCAAUCAUCAUAAACAUGAUAUGAAACAUCCAUCAUACCAACCCAUAUAAUCCAUCAAACAAGCAUAAACAUCACAUAAGAUCAACCAACAACUAUAACAACUCAUCUAUGCAUUUUAGCUACUGUCAAUGCAUAAUCACUCUAUACAUGCAUAAUUUUAAAUUUUCAUUCGAAGAAAAAAUCUCUUACCUAAGAUUAGUUAAAAAGAAAGUAAGUCAGAUCAUUACUUAAAAGAUAAAACAUCAUUUAACACUUUUUUGCAAAGAGAAACUAAAUUCUUAUUAAAAUACUAUCACAUACAUGUUCAAAAAACAUAGAAUUAACAAAAUGAAUAAAAAUAAUGUGUAAACAUGACCAGCAUGUUUUAAAACUUUUAAAGAAAAUAAGGAUAAAUAAAUAAGACAAAAUUUUAAAUAAAAUGUCUAAAACUCAUAAUAAUGAAAAUUGAUGAAGAAAAGGAGGAAGCAAAAUGAGGUCCCCAUAUGGCAUGUUAUAGGCACUUCCUCACUCGCUCGACCAGGAUUUCUUCAACUUCUUUAUUCUCUUUCUGACUGAGGUCGAUGGUUGGUCAGACUAUGACAUUACGCUGCUUGUCAUUAGAUUCUUGAUGGUAGGGUUUCAAGUUACUCACAUGAAUUACUGGGUGAAUUUUCAUCCAUAUGGGCAACGUCACUCUCUAAGAUGUAUUCCCUACCUUCUUCAGCACUCCUACUGGUCCCUCAUAUUUCCUCACGAGGCGUUGGUCUUUGCAUCCUCAGAAUCAAAAAUCUGUUUCGAUUGCAACUUAAUGAGGACCUGAUCUCCCACUCAAAACUCAAGGGGGCGACACUUCUUAUCUGCCCACAUCUUCCUCUGCUUCGAGGCCUUCUCCAGAUAGGCUCUAGCAAUGUCCGUUGUCUGCUUCCAUUCCCUAAUAAAGUUAUGAGCUUGAGGGUUCUUCCCCACAUAGGGGUGAUCAACAAGGUGUGGCAAUACCAUUUUCCUGCCUCAAACAAUUUCAAAUGGGCUUCUCCCAAUUGACGAGCUCGUAUGAGAGUUAAAACAUAACUGGGCUACAUCUAACAACUAGGCCUAAUUCUUCUCCCUUGCAGUAACAAAAUGGCAUAAAUAUUCUUUGAGCAUACAGUUAAACUGCUCGGUCUGACCGUCUGUCUGAGGAUGAUAACUUGAGGACACAUUCAGACUUGUCCCCAAGAAAGUGAACAAUUUUUUCCAAAAGGUGCAAACGACCAUCUCGAUCAGUCACAAUGCUUGACAGUACACCCCACAACUUGACAAUAUGUUUAAAGAAAAACUGGGCUGUCAAUUGUGCCGAACACUGCUUGCUAGUGGGAACAAAAGUGGCAUAUUUUGAGAACCGAUCUAUGAUGACUAAGAUGAUCUCAUAGUCACCUACUUUGGGGAGAUGAGUGACGAAGUCUAUAGAAACACUCUCCUACGGUCUCGUUGGAACUGACAGCGAGGUUCAGGAAGUCCAGCAACCUUCGCUUUCUCGAUUUUGUCCUAUUGACAGAUGAGACAGGUCUUCGUGUAUUGCAUGACGUCUUCUAUCAUACUGGGCCAAAAGUAACCCUUCUUCAGUAACGCGUACGUUCGCUGCCAUCUUGCUUGUUUUAAAGUCUAUUUUGGCUGGGUAAAGAAGUGGCAAGUAGCACUAUUAUCUGUCUUCACAACAAAAGUAGACACUUCUUUACCACCAUAAGAAAUACCACCACAAGAGAACACCACAAUAGUGCUACUUGCAAGCAUUAUUGCAUUCAGUAUUGCAUCACCACAAAAUUAGUCCUUAGUCAUAAUUUCCUGCAUGUAUCUCAUAAGAUAAUACCCACAUUCGACAGUACCCACUUGUAAAUGACACUAUAUUACAAAACCAACCAUGCAAAUUAUAUUAUGUGGUUAAAUUAUAUGUAAUGAUAUUAAAUUUAAAUUAUCUUUUAAAUAUAUUUACCUUUACCCACAUUUCUUUUUUUUAAGAUUGAAAAAUAGUCAAUGCCCUAUAUUUCCCAAAAUAUAGUAUAAUUCAAAAUAAAAUAUUCUUUACAUAAAAAAACAUAAACAUAGUUACAUAUUCGUUAUGUAUUUAAUAUAUUCUCAUGAGCUUGUUCUCAAUAAGUCAAGAUGAUACACCACAUCAUCGUACACAUUAAUCACAACUAAUGAUCAAUGAUCACUAAGUAAAAUAUAUAUGCAACUAAUUAGUAUUUUGCUACUGAUGCAAGUUUGAGUUGAUAAAAAUUGUACUUACUCGAGAUUAUAAGAAGCAAUAACCAACUCAUCUUAUUUGAAAGUUAUUGAUCUAGUCAAAAUGUUUCGAGCUCUAAUCUCUUGUGUAGUAUGACCCGCUGAUAUAAGAGAUGAAUCUACAAAACAUACUUCAAAACUUUCUUCAAAUCAAUAAUGAAGGAGUAUAAGUAUCUACAAUAUAUGAAUUGCACAAAUCUACUUAUUAUUAAUUAAAAUGUGAAUAUAUAUAUAUAUAAUAAAAAAGUAGAGCUUACUUACAUGAUAUAAGCCACCAUUGAUAAAAUCUUCACAUUUUGCAAAAAUCAAUUAUCUUCUUGCAAGACGUGACUCUUUCAACAUAAACCAAAUAUAUAGUUGAAAGAAAAAACUAGACCCAUAAACCAUUACCUUUUUUAGCAUAUACUUCAAUUGUAUUGGUAGGUUGGAUGGUGCACUAGUAGCUUCCAUCUCCUUCGUCAUCGUUCUUAAAGGUUUUCCUCACAUAAUUAAGAAACAAUAUAAGAACUUAUACACGUAAAAUUAUUUGUUUCUAAAUAAGAUAAACCGUGAGAAUUUACAAUGCACCUUCACAUCUACCUAAUUCUUCGAUACUGGUGGCUAAGUAGUAGCAAUCACUUCCUCCUCUUCUACCACCUUCUACUUUGAUGUAGGUGAUACACGAGUAGCAAUCACUUUCUUCUCUUUUACCACAUUUUUAAAAUUUGUAUCAGUUGCCUCAAGCUCAAGAGAUGGUACACUAAUAGUUUGUUUCUUUUACAAUUUUUUUUUUAAUCUUUCUCCUAAAACCAUCAAAACAUUUGGAGAAGUAAUUUGUAACUUCACUUUAAUAAACAAUUGAUAUUGUAACUUUACUUUAGAAACAAACAUUUUACUUUCUCCUGAACUUUAAACUUGCUCUUACAAUUUCCAAAUAUGUUUACAGAGUGUUCAUUUUUAUCAAUGAUUUGUUUGGUUGUAUCCAUUUUUUUUUUACAUUCUUGGUUUUGCUUUGUGAAAAUAAAUUGUAGAUGAAAACCACCCACACCACAUUUUGGAGUACCCAAAGCUUGAGUCAACACAUUCACUUUAACAAACAACAUUCAUGUUUGUUGAAGAGUGGAUUUGCAUUAUUAUUCUCAAUCUCAUCCUAAAAGUUGUUAAAUAUGAUCGGUAACAUGUAAAAAUAUAUACAUGUGAUUUGAUGCAAACGUAACAUUGAGAAUCUUACUAUUUGAUUGGCUACUUUUUGUACAUCUUCAUUAUGUAUUCUCCAUUUUUUUAUCCAAACUUUUUUCAACAUAUUAGCUCGUCCAAUAUCCUAUUAGUUAGAAGAAACCUUUUUCUACAUAUCAUUAACCACACAAUAGUUAAAUUUAAGUAUAUCUGAAAAAUAAUAUAAUAUUCUUAACUAACCAUUAGCAAUAUUCGUUCAUAUAACCUCUUCUAGACAUUAUAUGACUAUACUAAUUCUCUUUCUGAUCAUGUUAUUGACUUCUCACUUAAUAUACAAAUUUUAUAUAACAAGAUUAAAAUAACAAACGUAUUAUUGAUUAUAUUAAAAAGAAGUUUAAUACAUGAAAUUUUAAAGAUAGCCUUGAUCUGACAAACUCUCACGAAACAUGUGUUUCAAUAAUGUGAGAAUACAAUUAAAGCAAAUCUACCAAGAAUUACGGUUCAUCCAUAAAUAGGAUAAUAUAUUGCAAUCGUUAACCAACUCUCAAAUUGACAAAAUGCAACAUCCAUUAUUUUAUAAUGCUCUUCUUACUUUUACCAUCACCCUAAACAUUUAACCAUGCUUAGUGUAAGCUUUUGAAACUCACAUAGCCUAGUAGAAAGUUCAAAAAGUGUAAAAAAAAAAAAAAAAAAAGACUUAAAGACCCAAAAUGACAACUAAGUGUUCCGGUGCAACAAAAUUGUUUCUAAAUGUCUAGAGAGCAUUUACAAUUGAUGGUCGGUAAGAAGGUCAUUAUUAAAAUAUCAAAAUAGGCAUUUCAUUAAUUUAAAGAAAUAUUUAUCUUACACAUUUUAAGAACAACAUGAAAGUACUCAAAACUUACACAUUUUCCCAAUAAUAAAUAUUUAUCUCCCUCAUUUUCCCAAUUAAAUAUAUAUCUAAUUACUUCUCUUUCCUAAUCAAUUUACCAAUUCCCCCAAUGAAAUAUGUAUACCUAAUACUGUAACAUAUAUAUUUAAUAUCUCAAAUUCCUCCUUCCCAAGUCGUACGGAUUCAAGAUCAAGGGGUGCCUCUGAAUCUCCAUUCUUCCUCCUUUCCCUUCUAACUAUCCGCCUAACCCUCUUUCUCUCUUCUUUCUGGGUCCUAUGAGUAAACUCAGAUUAAGAGAAUGAAGUGAGGAUUGAAAAAAACACUUAUCUCUCUUCUUUUCUGGGUCCUUUGAUUUUUUUUUUUUUCCGAUCAUUUGUUCUUAGUUAUAUUUUAAUUAAUUCAAUCAAUUUACUUCCCAUUUUAAGUUGUAAAGGAAAAAAAAUUAGAUGUUUACAGACAUAAAAUAGACACAAAACAUAAUGAAUAAGAAAGAAACAAUUGAGUUGUCUUGGAUUAAACAAUUACAAAGGAAAUUAAUAACGAAACAUAAACAAGGGAUGACCCUUACUUGGAUUUUAUUUACUUUGUACAUGUAAUACAAACCAUAUAUAUAGCUUAUAGAAAUACAAAAGCAAAGUAGCAAAGAUACAUAUUCAACCCCACGAAAAUGACUUCAAAACAAAAUAAAACUUUACUUCACACAACAAAUUAACAAGCCACACUUGAACACUUAAUUCAUGUGGGAUUCAAUGUCCUUAGUGAUACCAUUCAUGAGGUCAAUAUACUUGUAAGGAUAAGAAGACCCAUCGUUAAGUUUCUCAUACUCUAUAGUCAGAAUUGCCUGGCAAUGGUUAGGACCCUUGGGCACAACUUGGUAAGAUGGCUUAAAGCUUUUAUAAUGGUUGAACACAUCUCCUUCCAGCCCAACCAAGAUUAUCAACAAUUUAUCAUCGUGAAACUCGACCUGUUCCUUGAAAACUUCUGCCUUGCCAUCUUGCAAAUCAAAUACAAGAAAGAAAGAGAUCGAUUUUUUUUCCCUCUAUGUUAGUCAUGAAAAUAAAAAACAAAAAAAAAAAAAAAAGAAAGAAAGAAAAAGAAGAAGGUGAUUUUAUGCAUACCAACAGUGUAAUACCAAGUCUUGAUAGAGCCAUGGUCAUGGUCAUCCCAGUUAGCAUCAUGGAUUUCAACUUGUUGAAUGAAUUUGGGGGUUAUAUUGGGAACAUGAAAACAUUGAUGUUUGAAUAUUUUGUAAAAUUUCUCAGCAGGUGCAUUGAUCUCUAAUUCACUCACAAGCUUUCCAAUUAGAGACAUGAUUCAAAACCUUCUAUCUCUAGAUAGAGAAAAAAUAGCUCACUCACUCAAUAAUAUUAACGUUGAUAUAGUAAUUCUCCAUUCCUAACCCUUACCCUUUUUAUACACAAAGUUUUUGAUCUACUAAUAACUAUCUUGUACCAUUAGAUAUAAUGAAUUAUAUAAUUAAAUUUGACUUUUUUUUCAUUAUCAUUAUGGUGGUAGAGACCCACAUUGUAUACCAUUAUUUUCUUUGGAUAAAAAUAAUAAUAUUAGUGUGCAUUAGAACAUUUAUUUAUUAAAUAUUAUACCAAUAAAAAAAAUUAUCUCCAAUAAAAAAAUUGACAAUAUAUUUGUACCUUACCCAAAAAUCAAAGAUAAUGAAUAUUAUCUUUUAAUAGUUUUUUCUUUAUACAAAGUUGAUAUAGUUUAUUGAUUUGUCUAUUUUUGAAAAAAAAAAAAAACUGUAUAAAUAAAUUAAUAUAAUAAAAAUAAACCACAUUAGGAAGGGAGGAUAAAAGCUCUCAUUUACCAAAAAGUUUGGAAUAAUAAGGUUAAAGUUAUUUGAGACUAUUUUAAAUCAUUGUUCACUUAAAGUGACUAGAUUAAAGGACACACUUAUUAAAUUUAUUGAGCUAAAUAGACACAUAAAUUUUAUCUGUUAAGUAUUAAUAAAUUAAAACAACAUACCGUAAACCAUAAGUUUAUCCAUGUAAUUGGUGAUAAUUAACAUGUAGGAACUGUGGAGCUAUUUUUAAGAAUUGUUCCAAAGCCCAUAUUUUUAAUGAAUUAAUGAUUAAACAAUUUAAUGAAUACCUUGUUUUGGUGCUUCGUAUAACUAUCUAUACAACCACACCAAACAUGGUCCACCUUAAAAAUUUUGCCCUGUUUCAUGUAGAUCAACUAACAAUGGUAGGAACAUUAUAUUAGGUGCACAUAACAAUUGGAUUAUCCGUAAACAUACUUCUACCCAUCAACUGUAAUAUAUAUGCCUCUGCAUAUCUUAUGAUAGUGUUCUUGUCUGCAUUGUCAUCUAACCCAGGCAAUUAUGUCCCUAGCCAUGUUAGACUUAAUCAUGAACUUGUGAUUUGUUUACCAAGUGGGAUUAUAUUGCGUUACAUUUGGCAUAGAUGCAACCAAUCUUAUGGGUUUGACCGGUAAUGUCAUGUCCUACCCCACAUGUGUUCUAUAUGAUGUGGUAUGCGACGCGCUAGUGUCACGCCUCGCCCUAAAGAUUGCUUCUUGCAACCAGGUGGACGCAUGUUGCCUAAACCUUUAUCACGUACUUCUCGUGAGGUAAUGUGCUAAAGAUCUAGUAAGCGAAACAACUUAUCUCUUUGUGUACAACUUAAACUCCAAACUUUUCAUUUAUACAAGCAAGCAGAAUGCAACAACUUAAAUUUUUACUAACGUAUCUUUGAUACUGCAUUUUUUUUAGUUUUGUUCCCUUACGCGAUAGACAUUGACAUUGAUGAUACAACGGAAUGAGUACAAAACUUUCCUUUAUUACUUAACACUUUUAGAGGUUUUAGAAAUUACAAGUAUAACUCUCUAAACUCUCUUGACACUGAUACUUGGUUACCACUUGCCUAAUGCCUCUGUCUUUCCUCGUCUGUUGUCUAGUGUUACGUCUUGAGACGAUUUCUUAAAUGUGUGAGACCUUUCUUUCUUCGACUCGGCUCUUCGACUCUUUUACUCUCUAAAAUCAAAGCUAGCUUCUCAUCGUCCUCUAAACUGCUCUCUGUAGAGGGUACUUAGAGGUGUAAAGAUGGCAUUUUCUCCUCCACUUAGGUUGCUCAACCACCUCUCAUAGCGCACCACAUUAGGGCUACUCUUCCCCUGACUCAACUCCUAGGCUCUUUGGCUCACCGAGUUAGUCCUUCACCAACUUGAGUAUUGCACUCACCUGCCUUCUGAGUUGGGCCAUCCGCACCAAGGAGCGAUUUGCUUACCAAUCGGCCCCUCAGAUUUAAUAGAAACUUUCACAUUCAACGCACCAUGUAAGACUACAAAGACGCACUAUCUUCCUUCCUUAACUUGGCUAUGAAGCCUCUUAAUGAACCUUCGCAUGACUUUAAUGCCUAACAACCCAUAUCUUUUGGUCUCCACUCCUUCCUUCUCUACUUUUGGAUUCCUUUUCUAGUAAAGUGUUUUUGUUUACCAACCGUUAAGUAUCCCAAGCCUCUUUUUCUCCAUUCUAACCUGGCAUAUCCUUUUUCCUCUGGAAAAACUCUCUCUUCUUUUGGCCUUUGACUCUUUUUACAGUGACCUUUCACGUCUAAGGGUCGCUUUAUUACUUUACACGUGUCCCUUUACAUAUUCACCACACCAUAUAACCAAUCUGAACUUGACGUGUAGACAAAAAUAUGGUGGUGAUUAGACAUCCCUUUGAAAUGUCAAAUUAAUUAUCUCUUUAGGAAGCCAAACUUCUAUAAAUCGCCUAACCCUCCUUAUCUCCUCGGGAAGCCACAAAUAUUUAUUUAUGUUCAUGAGUCGUUUAGUCUUGUUGACAUGACUCCUACAACUUCUCUAAGCACAAGUGCUUCUUCUCGCAUUAUGGUAUCAAAUGCCUAACUCUCGUCAUAUAGGUUUCUUCUCGCCACUCAUUCUUAUCGCGUCAAGUACAUCUGCAUGAUUAACCUUAGGCAGGUAUUUCUUUUUUUGUCGUCCUUCUUCCUCCUUUUGUGCUAUUAUUUCUCAUGCACUGUACUCUUAUUGGAGUGGUUUCUUCACAAUAAUUUUUCUCCAUCGAACUUCCUUCUUUGGGUCAGAUUGUGGACGUAUACUCCUUCCAUGGAGCAUAUUGUACGAUUAGAAUUUUCUUUAUUGUGUCACCAUCGCAGGGUCUUUGUCACGUUGGGUGUACACGGUUAGGGCCUUACAACUAGAAUCUUUGAACUUAAACAUUUAUACGAUUCAAAACUUAACAUAAGCAGCAAAACCACCACAACUUUAAUAACAUAAACCACUUCUUAUUUCUUAACCCAACCGUUCGACAAUUUAACUCUUUACAUGCAUCGUUAAUACAAGAAUUAUACCAAUUAAACUUAAAUGUCUUGCUUAGCUUCCUCGCAUAGCAACUCAUCUCACAUUUCUUUACUUGGCCUUAAUGCCGGAUCACCUGGGAAGGGAACACUUAAAACGUAAGGCAAAUACUUAGUGAAUGAUAGUUUUGAAAACCUUUUUGGACAUAUACAAUACGUAAAACCAUUUUCAUAAAACAGGCUUCAAUGCCUCAAUUCAGUUAAUCAUGAAAGACAAAUUAGCCUUUCACUAUUCCUUUCACUAGCUAGGAACAUAAACCAUUCCCUUGCACAGACUACUGUGAUGGCCUUCUCAUAAAAAACAUCACUUGGAGAAUCUUCUGGUUCAUUUCCAGUUGCUCGGGCUGCUAAGCACAAUGUACAUCUUUUAUGCAUUGGCUAGCUUCUCUUUACUAUACAGACCUUUUCUAUAUGGUUGCCUUUACUCAUUAUGUGUACAUAAUAGUUAGCCCAUUGAUAAGGAUAAGACUAAUGGUUUACUCACAAACAUAACAUACAAUCAUCAAACAUAAGACUUUACAAGCUUUCUUUAGAAAUCUCCAAGUUCAUAAACAUUUCGUGUUGAAACAAUAUUACAAACCACAAGAACUUUAGAAAGAAAGCUUAAAACAAUUUAAUCUUAGAAAACCACUUACUGAUUUUCCCUUUACUCUUUUCCUCAAUGGUUGAAGAUCUUCUUCUUACCGCUUUACCAGUAGCCUUCCUUAGUAAACUAAGCUCAAAAUGCAAACUCCUUCAAUUGGUUUGAUGUGUUUUGCUGAGAAGAACUUAGAGAACUCCUUCCCGAAAAGUUUCUUUAAAAAUUAGUGCUUCCAUGAAAAUCUUAGGAUACCUCAUGCUUGUCAUUUUUCUUAUGUCCUGCAUGGCUAACACCUUCUGCUUGCUUAAAUUCUAAGUAUUUGCAUGAACCUAGAUUCUGGAUCAAAAUAAGUUCGAGUUCUGCCUGAGAUCUCAAAUAAAUCCUGUUUUGUCUUCAGUUUCGGCUAGACACAACCCCGUAAUGGGCUGACUGCUCUUUAUUUUUAGCUUUGAGCUUCAAAUCUUGGUUGGAGACGACCACAAAAUUGCCCGAUAACCCUUAAAUUUUCAUUUUUUUUACUUCCAAUUCUGGUUGAACACGACCCCGAGAUUAUCUGAGACCCAACUUCAAAACCUUUUUGUCCUUCAUCUCAGUCGAACAAGGAUCAAGAUGGCUUUGAGAUUAUACUUCUGUCCGAGGUCUUUACAUAAAAAGCAUUAUAUCUUUCCUCUCGGCCGAGCAAGAUCAAAGUUUUAUCUUGGAAUCAAUAUUCUGUCUCAAAUCUCGACAAAGAUCUCACAAGGUUACCUUGAGAUUCCCUUUCUAAUAUACUUACUUUGGCGAACAACCAUAUUUUCAUCAACUUUUCUUCUAUCAUCCAUUCAAAACUUCAACCUCAAUUUCUCCACAUUUUCUUAGUUUUCUUUCUUCCCACCUAUCAUGACAUACUUAAAAUGACCCUUCUAUUUCGGACACACACACUGGUCUCACAGAUAACGAGCUUUCUAUCAACAAGUAAUCUGAUCUAAACUUCCACAUCUUGCAAUGUGAUUGUGGACUUCUCCCGUCGGCAUAUGAAAUGUAUGUUUUUGGCCUAUGAAAUAUGUGUGUAACAGGCUUUCAAUUAGCAAGUAAUUCAAUCAAAAGUUCCAUAUCUUGCAAAGUGACAAUGGACUCUCUAGUCGACAUAUGAAAUGUGUGUCUUUGGCCUCCAUCUCUCAACAAGUGCAGAGAUGAGAUGUCAAUCUAACUAGAUGAAUCAUAACAUUGCAAUCCCAUAAAAUUUGAUUGGACGGAGUAGUGGAAGUAUUCAACGGUGGAGUGAGAUAGUACGAUACACAACCACCUCACUCUAUCUACAGUUCAUCUUGGAUGUAGUUUAAUUAUCUCAUACAGUUGCUUAUCGAUGAAUGUUCUGAUCAUAUAAAAUGUUAUGAUCCAUUGAUCCUAGGUUUAAUAAUGUCAUUCUCUUUACAUGAAAAAUAUUUAUUUGUUUACUAGGUUAAAUAUUACGCACAAAUCAAGUCUCCAAAAUUAGCCAAAUAAACCUUCAAGGAAAAACUCCCAAUUAGAACUAAAAUUAAACUAUUUUCGAGCAAAAAAUUAUCAUUUGAUGGGUAUAUCCAAAACCCAUAAACCAAUCAAAACUCACCAAAAAGUGGUUGGAAAAGGCUAAAAAGUGUAGAAAAUUUUGACUUGGCUAUCAACUUGAAACUUGAUCGUGGCAGGAAGAGGAAGUAGCCAGCUCAUGUUGCUUAAAGGAGAUGUCGGCGCGUGCAUACAACUAAACUUGACUUCGGAGGCUUGAUAACACAUGAACUCGAAGGAUUGGCUUGCGUUAUGCGUGCGACGCGGGGCAGAGGGAGUACUUGAUGCAUGAAGAGAAACUCGGAUGAAGACUCGAUGCAUAAGGCAAUAUAUCUUUAAUAUAAAAUUUAUCAAAAAUUUGAGACAUUGCUUUAAAGGAAAAAUAAUAUUUUGUAAACCUUACGUUCAAUCUUAAACAAAAUAGUGAACAACGAACUGUUUUAUGAACGACUACAACAAGCGACAAGCACAAAAUAUUAGACCAACGAAUGAACGUCGACAAGCAACGAAUGGAUAGUUGAUUUGUAGAUGGUAACGACCAACGACGACUGCUUUGAUGAACUUUUCUUGUACGGGUGAAAGCGGUUACUUGGACAAUUUCGGGAACACUUGAAGGCAAUGGACAAAUUGUUGAUUUGUAGACGACAAUGAUUAGCGGCGGCUGCUUGGACAGACAGACACUGUUUCUUGGAUGAUUUUGUCACAGGUUCGACGACGACGACGACAAUCAAGAUUGGUUUAUUUUGGUUCAUGUUUGUAAACAUAAGCUAAGGAAAAACUCAAGGGUUUCAUGUGUCGGUAGAAAGAGAAUAUUGGGAAAUUAGGUUGAUUUGAUUUUUGGCAGAUAAUUAAUUCUUUGUCUUUGGUAUUCGGUUUGACUCUAUCGUUAUUCAAAUCAUUCAAUUGAAAGUUUGGAGUUUUAGAUUGGCUGAGGUUAUUUUUGGCAUUCUAUAUUUUUUUAUUUUGCCAUGUACAUAAUUUUAUAUUUAUUUUGCUAUUUUACCAAAUGAAAGUUAACAAUAUGCUAUUUAUCUAAUUGCCCCUUCUGGAAUUUUAUUCAAACAACUUGUUUGUUGCUUUUGCCGUAGAAUAGGGUGUCGCAGCAUAUACCUCUCAUGUGAAUAUAUACACCACAAUCAUUCUAUGAUAGUAAAUAAUCAUAUUCUAUAAUCAUAUAUUUAUCUAACUCUCCUCAUUCUUAUUUCAAAUAAUAGCAGGUGUAAUAUAUAUAUUAUUAUAAUAAUAGUAGAAAUAAAGUUAUUCUCGAUAACUAUAAAUAAGUUGAUAAUAUUAAUUUAUUUUCAUCCAUAAACUUAAUCCGUUCAUUGCUUAAUAACUUAACAAUGAUUUUGCUCGCACAACUUUUUACAUUUAAGUGAAACAAAACAUAUCAGCUAAAGUCUUUUUUUUAGUUGAUUGAUAGUUUAACAAAGUGCCAUUAUUCAUUCUUCUUUCUUCAAAAUGUUACAUGAAUGAGAGUUGAUCAAAAAACCCAAUCUUAUGGAGUAAGCUGAUAGGUUAUAGGGACAAAUAUUAGAAAAUUGGAGCAGCUGAAAGAGAAAAGUAGCAGAGCUUCCACACUAAAAUCGAUCCAUGCACAUGAACAAAACGUGUAGUUUUUUCUAGUGGGUUGGGGAAGUCAAUUAAUUAGAAAGAAUUGGGAGAAGAUGGAUAUGAAGAUUUGUAUUCUGUCUUUUGUGGAGCAGUUACAACUGCCACCGAUUUUUCACAUCUCCAAUUAACCCCAAUGAUUGCACAAACUUCAAAACCAAAAUCAAACCUAAAGAUUAUCAUGUCCAAUAAUAUAAUUACCCAAUCACUUUCAAUAUUAUAUGUUUUAAAAAAUUAAUAGUUUAUAACCAGUGGUCAAAUAUAAAAGAUUUUAAAUUCAUUGUACAUAAAUUUAAAUUUGAAAUAGUCAUACAUCCAUGCCUUUUACUAGUUAAUAGAUGGUACAUUUUGAUUCAUUUAAACCUAUAAUUUUGUAGAAGUAACAAUUUAGUUCAUUAACAAAGUUUUGACUAGUCAAUUGGUUCCAUAUUGUAGAAAUUAGUUUAAAAGUUUAAUGAGAUCUAUGCAUAAAUAAACCAAAAAACCAAUUAUAGACCCAUUAAAGACUAUAGCAUAAAAUAGUAUGAAUAUUGAGAUUAAUUUUUAUGAUUUUUUCAUUUUAUGUUGGGACUAGAUUAUAUCAAAUUUGAAAGUACAAAAUUAUUAUGUAUCACAAUUAAAGGACCAAAUUGAUACAUACAUGAAAAAUCAAAAACUAAAUUAUUACAAACCAAAGUUUAUGGACUAAAAUUGUUAGUGAUAGUUGCAAAUUUAGCAAUUAAAUUCAAAUUAAUUAAGUAUAUAGCACAAUUUUAAAAAAUUUGCAAAUAUAGCAAAAUUUGUCAAAUUCUAUCAAUGAUAUAAGUCUAUCACUGAUAGACCAUGUUGCAAACAUUGGUCUCUCACUAAUAUACCAUAUGAAGUCUAUCAGCGAUACAAGUCUAUUAGUGAUAGUUUUGCUAUAUUUGCAAUUUUUUUAAAAUGUUGUCAUAUCCUUAAUUAUUAUUGCUAAAAUAGUCAUUCAUUGCAAUUUCCCAAAUUGUUACGUUUAUGAAAGUUUAAAGACAAAGAGUUUUUUUUUUCAUCAAAUAAAGAUUUUGAUUAUUUUUGUUAUAUUUAAAUGCAUUCCACACACAAAUAUAAAAAAAAAUAAGGUUAAUUUUUAUAAAUAUAACAAAACACCAAAAUACUGAUGACCCGUGUAAUAAAAUAAAAAAGCUCAUGAUAUUUUCAUAAAUUACAGGUUUGCCCUUGAAUAAUGAGAACAAUUUUUCCCUUCUUUUUCUUCUUCUAUGUGAUUUAUUUAUCUCCUCUUCAUAUUAUUAAUUCUUCUUCGGUUUACAAUAAUAUGAAUAUUUAUGUAACUAUUUAUCAAUUUCUUCAUUUUCUAGAUUCUUCCAGAACUUCUUCCUUCUUCUUCAUUUCUCACCUUCAUUUUUUUUCAUGGUACAAGAUUAAAAUGAUAUUGGUACAGGAUUUAAACGAUUGUGUACCAAUAUCUAAAUUAUCAGUUGUCUAUUCCAGAUAGACAGAGAUAGAUCAUUGUCACUAAUAGAUCGUUUAGAUUUGAUACAAGAUUGUUUAGACUGGAUACAAGAUCAUUUAGACUAGGUACAAAGGUACAAGAUUGUUUUAUACUUGGUACAAGAUCAUUUAGACUUGCUAUGAAAUUGUUUAGACAAGGUACAAACUAAAAUCGCUUAGAUUAGGUACAACAUCAUUUACACUUGGUACAAGGAUACAAAGAUCGUUUAUAUUUGUUACAAGAUUGUUUAAACUUUGUAAGAGAUCGUUUAAAUUUGGUACAAAACCAUUUUCACGUGUGUGUGCUCAAUUAAUUGUGAGAGUGUUUUUGUUACUUCACGUUAUGGGCCCGUGAACUUUUUUCUUUUUUAAAAUUGUUUUAUACUGUGUAAUAUUUUCUUGUUUUGUUGUAUUUGUUGAAAAAACUCCUAAAAAUAAAGGUUAAGAAAAUAAAAUAAAAUGACAAACCCCAUUUUCAAAGUUAGCAACUGCACAGACUAACCCCUUCCCCUCUCAUCCUGUUUUUGCAUCUCAAGUCAAUCCAUAUCACCGACCUCAACGCAAGUGUAGCAGCUUAAUUGAUCGAUCACCAUCUGCCUUCUCUUCGUCACCAAGUCACCACCUAGCAGUGUAUGUCUUUGUGAUCAAUUCUCCAAAAGAGCUAAUUUUUUUAACCUAACUCAUGUUACUUUUCAAGAAUUUAGAGUUUAAAUGUGUUUCGAAAGACGAUAUCAAGUUUAGGAGGCUUUGAAGAUGAUUUUGGUACAAAAUAGAAUAAACGAAAUAUAUUAGAGAAUUUUUUGAAAAUAGCUUUUGAAGUUUUCAUAUUACAAAUACGAAAUAUAUUAGGUAUUGUUUUUUUUUCCCAAUUCGGGCAAAGAUCAACCAUCAAGGUUUAUGUUAAAAAAUUUAACUUAUCAAUACCUAUCUUUGGCAUUUAAGAUUAGGUCACGUGAGUCUUGAUCGAAUUGAGAAGUUGGUAAAGAAUUAACUUCUAAGCGAGUUAGAAGAUAAUUCAUUACCUUCGCGCACUACAAGAAAUAUUAGUCACAAAGAAAAAGAAGUGAAAAAUCAUCUCGUAAUAUUUACGAACAAAUAUGGAAUUUAUGAAAUUACAACGGUGGUUUUAUGAGCUUUUAUUUUUUGUUACAUGAAUCGUAAAUAUUUUUGGGUUUUGUUCUGUAUAUAUAAAUUAACCUACAUGAUAACUGGGUAUGCUCCAUUAUAAUCCAAUUUUUAUUUCGAUAAAUUUUUAAAAUUUACAUAAAUGUCUUCGUCUGAUCCUCUAUAACAAACGUCUAAGUCUAAUUACAUUAAAUUUUUGGUGCAAAAUAAAUUUACAUUUCAAUCCUUCCAUAAAAUAUGAAAUAUUAAAAAAAUAGACAAAAAAAUUGAAAUAAGAAAAAUAUGACUGAUUCGAAAAAUAUCAUUGAUAGAGAUGUUAAUAAGGUGAGGUUAAAUUUGAGAUGACUUGUUAGGAUAUGUUUGGCACAAAGAAUGAAGAAAUUGGAGUUGUGAACUCCCCCUUCUUAUUUGACUCAAGUAGUUAGAUGAGUCUGGCUAUUAAAUAAAUAUUAAUUUUAUAUCUUAUCAAUUCUUGAAUUCAAUCUACAAGUUCACAACUUUGUCCAUUUCAUAAUAUCUCACUCUUUACCUUUUAAUUUUAAAAUUAUUCAUUGCCUUAUUCUUUUUAAAAAUAAUCUACUUAGUUAAAAAAUAUAAAUUUAAAAGUUUUAAUUGAAUAGAUAAAUUUUUAAUUAGAAAAAGGGAUGAUUCAUUUGGUAAUUAAAUUAUAAUGAUUAUUAAAAUUAGAUCCAUAGACAUGUUUGUGUAGAAAUAUUGGAAUAACCAAAAUGUCUCUCACAAAUAAAAUAAAAAUGUGUGAUUGUAUUUAGUUGUCAAUCAAUUACUGUCUGAUUGUCAUUUGAUUUUCAAUUACUUGUCAAUGAUAUUAGUUCUUGUGAAUGAUAUUAGUUCCUAUCUGAUUGUUCUCCAAUUAUUGUCUAAUUAUUAUUUAAUUGUUGACGAUAUUGAUACUAAUUGUUGCCUGAUUGCUAUAUGAUAUUUAAAUAAUUGUCAAUCAAUUGAUUAAUAUUUAAAAGGGGUUAUUGUCAAUUAUACUAAUUACUAUUUGGUUGUUGUCUAAUUAGUAUCCGAUUUGACUGUGAAUGAUAUUAAUUGUUGUCUGAUAAUAGUUACUAAUGAUAUGGAUUAUUGCUGCGUUAAUAUUUAAGCUAAAUGAAAGUUAUUCAAUUGUUAAUAAUAUUGAUUGGUAUUUGAUAAUGAUCUAUCUUUAUUUCAUUGAUAUCUUUUUAUUAUCCUAUAAUGAUCAUUGGGAAUGAUACUAAUUUUCUAUUUGAUUGUUGUCUAAUAUAUUGUUACUCGACAGUAGUUGCUAUUUGGUUGCCAAUAAACAACUCAUGUAAUGGAUUGUUGUUGACUAAUUAUUAUCUGGUAUAUAUUGAUUGCAAAGCCACUCAUACUACUAUUUGACUGUUCUUAUAUUCAUAUUUGAUAUUGAAUGUUACAUGUUAAUUAUUAUCUUAUACUAAUUACGAAUGAAGCAGAUCAUUUUUCAUCUUAUUGUUUUUUAUAUUAAUUGUUAUCUCAUCAUCAAUGAUAUCCAAACUAAAAUGAUAUAUAGUUUAAUCUACAAAAUAUUUGACCCUCCUAAUUUAAUAUAUAUUAAACACAAGUUAACUAUAAAGACAUAAGUUUAAAGUAAUAUUAUAUAAAUCGAUAAAAGUUAUCUCUUUAUGACCCUAUGAAUCAAUUAAAACCUUAGAUUCAGACAAGAACCACGAUGAUUUAAUAAAAAAUUGAGGCUCAGUCUGAAGCUUCUUUAUCCGACGAAGGAAAGACGUGACUGCCUAUACAUUCUACUUGUAUCUCUUCACGAGAUGACGCAUAGAAUGCCUACUGAGCGGAUUAAAUGAACGUCAAAAUUUAAUGUGAAAUAAUUCAAUUGCGAAACAUAAAGAUUUCAUUGAGAGUGGAUCAAAAGUACAUUAUAUCAAACACAAGUACAGACCUUCUUAGUUUAAAACGUAAGUUUCUUAAAAUAACAAUCUUGGCUCCUUUAGUCUAACUCUACAUGCAAUGUGGUUUGACACUUGUCACUACUAAGUGAUGUAAGGGCACAUUAGGAAAUCAAGGUGGCAAGUUCGAGGUUGAAUGUCCUUAGCUACUUGGAGAGAAUGAAUAAAACAAAACAUUUAAAAGGUUAGACGAGACAUGUCUAGUGAGCAGGGGUUCUUUAAGAUAACACUUUACAAUAUCGUCUUAAUGAGUUGCAAUCAUUUUGUCAAGGCAUGUGAUAUAAACAACUUGCAUCUCAAUCGAUAAUACAUUCGUAAAUCACAUGGAAGGACAUUUUCUUUUUUAAAUCAAGUUUAAAGUUCAUAUCAUGCAAAGAUACGUUUGUUUUUAAAGUCUCAUAAUCUAAUCCCAGAAUCAUUUUGCAUGUUAGUUACAUCUUUGUAUUCUUUCCUCAACUAAAGCAUUUACCACACUCUUUAGCCAAGUUGUAGCUAUGUUGAAUCGUCCUAACGCAUUUAGCAAUUUUCAUCAAUUCUAGUCUGCAUAAUGUGUCUUCCAAUGACAAAACACACAACAAGCAAAGAGCAUCCCAUGCCAGAACACACGCAAGAAUAGGAAAUUAUAUUUCAAAAUACAUAGCAAUAAUAGAGUAUCUUAUCAUAGACCACACAAUAAGGAUAGAAGAUCUCACACUAGAACACACAACAAUUGUGAGGCUUCUCAUGCAUAGGGUACAAGGGCCAUCUUAAUUCAUCAUUUUAAUUUACAUCAAAACUUACACAUUUUAAAAUCCAUAUAUUUAGAAGCAUAGUCAAAAUCAUUUAUAUUCGAUGUUUCAAGGAAAACAUAUUUAAAGAUUUAAACAAAUUGGAAAUUCCUUUUUGCUUAGAAAACGUUUUAAGGGAAAACCACUCACAAAUAAGUUGGCUUCGUUGCCUACUCCUUAGCUCUGAAUCCUUUUGCACUUCACGUUGGUUUUAAGCUUUUAAAGAUGUCGGGAAAUCUUGUAAAUCCUCUCAAUUCUUUCUCAAGUGUUUGUAAGGUAGAAGCAACUUCAAAAAUGAUCGGGCUUUAUCUAUUUUAUAAGCCUUUCUGACGGCUUUUUUCAUGCAGGAAUGAUGACUUCUAUCCGACAGCGAGGGUGGUCCAUUCACAAGGUGCCACGUAUCUCUACCCAAAUCCUUAUCCUGGAUUCAGAUUGGGCAGCGAGGUUAAAUCCAUCAUCGACCUAUUGAUGCAAGGACUAUGUUGCCAUCUUUAGGUGAAGUGAGCCAAAAGUGAUUGGAUUAGUUUUAUCUUUAUCUACUUUAAUUAUUUUAUCUUUCUCAUGUUCAUUUGUCAUUUGUCUUCACGAUUUCAAAUCCAUAAAAGAGUGAAAGCAUAGUAAAAACUAAGGGUAAAAUAGAAAUAUUGAAAAGCAUGGAAUUAACUAUUAAAAUUUUUGCUAUAUAUGCAAAAUCCAAAAAUUAAAAAACCUAGCUUCAUUUGCAAUUUGCUAACGUCUCGAAAAUAGAGCUUGAAAAUUCAACACUAAUAACAACAAUAUUAUAAAUAUUAUUAAAAUAGAUGCCCUAUUAUGCUUAUUAUCCAUAACCAUGUGUCACUCCCCUCUACAUCCAACUCAUUUGCCUUGUCUCUUGAAGAUAUCAAUCCUUAAUGGUCAUAUAAUCCACCCCAUGUUUUUGGUGGAGUUUGUAAGACGAACACAAAUUGGUUAAAUUUUGGUUAAAUGAGAGAUAGUGGAUAUUUUUGGAGAUUUCUUAUUUAUUUUAUUUUAUUUUAUAGUAUUACAUUUUCUCGGUUUUUGUGUUCUGGUUGUGCCUCAUUUUCAUAGUAUGUUAUCCGCACAAACCGUAAUAGUUUUCUCCAUUAAAUAUAGGUUCUAAAGGUAUAACGAAGUUGUCUGUCACUGCUGCCCUCUAUUGUCGUCGCUCAUCGAUUUUGGUUAAGAUUGGUGAGUUAGGUGAGUGUUUUGAACUUUAUUAUGAGAUUUUAUAACCAUUAAAGGUUAAUUGAGACUCUGAGUUAUGUUUGCUAUUGGAAUUAAUUUUGGUUGGUGCAUUUUUCCAUCAAGGUUGAGAGGAUUUUUCAAUCUUCAUUUGGGUAAGUUUGAUAAGCUAAGCUAAUUCAAUUUUGGUUAUGCACGGGUAGAGUUGUGAUUUCGUUUGCAGCAACGAACUUAGCAUAGCCUAAGGUAAGGGUUAUACUACUAGAUCUUGUGUUGGGUUGGAUUAGGUUAAAUUGGAGAAAAAAAAAGUUGAGUUGGGUGUAGCCGAGUCGUGUAAUAAGGGGUUCGAGUUGACCUGAACCAAACCAAUUGUGUGUGUAUAAACCUAAAAUCUAAAAGUAAACCUCCUUUUGAAAUGGACAAUGUAGACUUGAAAUUUGAAUGUAUAAUUUUAAAUAUAUUCACCUUGCACCUUAAAUGACAAUUUGUUCACCUUACUAAUGAAAAACAAUAUGAAAGUUUGUCUAAAUUAUGGAGAGAUGAAAAAAAAAACUCACCAAUCCAACCUAACUCAACUUGGGUUGUGUUGCCCUUAACAUAUUGAAUCAAUAAGGUUCAUUUUCUAUCAACCCGAAAACUAUGGGUUGGUCCACAAAUUUUCUUUAACCGUAAGUACUUAGAAAUACACAUUACAUAAGGGUCAUGCUUGUUUUACACGAUUUUCAGUGUCUAAACACAGGUCGAUGAACAAAAGAAGAAGGUAACGCAAGAAGCGGCUUGCUAGAUGACAGAAGUUUCCUCGCCAUAAAUUUUCUAUAAAAAUUCUCAUUCUUCACCAGAGAGAGAGGGGCCUGCAUGCACCAAGAACGGCUAGACGUUUGAAUAGACCAACCAAAGGCCUGAAUAGGCCAAUCCCUAGAGAGUGGCGAAAAGGAAUAGUCAUUCUGUUGUCUAUAAAAUUUUCCUUCUUCUUCUCUGAUCAGUUGUAAAAGUAAAAGCUUGACUCCUAAGUAGGAAAGAAUCCAUACUCCCGUUGUCCUCUAACUUGUAAUAUUUUUCAUUCUCUUUUAUCUCCAUUUUUAUACUUCUUUGUAAUAUAUGUUGUUCAUAUUGUACAAUGACUAAGAUCUGUAUUCUUUAAAUAUACUACAUAUUUAUACAUUUUCAAUCCAUCAUUUCUUGACUUUUUUCCCACUCGUCAAUGUGUUAUUAGUAGUUAGAUUUGUGAUAAGUUUUUGAUAAGAAGUUUAACUUAUAAUUCUUGUCACGUUAGUUGAGCUAAGUUCAUUGCUUGGUUAGUGUAGAUCGCCAACUACCCAAGAGGGCAAGUAGUAAAGAUAAAGAUAAUGCGUGUAAGGAGGAGUCAGAAGACAAUGCGAGAUAACUUUCAUCACUUGUAUCCUGAAAGACGAACAAGUAUGAACAUGAGGCAUCGAGAGGUUACUGUUCUUAAUCAUGAAGUUCUAUAAGUAUUAUAAGUUAAGUCUUAUAAAUAUACCUCGCCUAAUCACGCUUUUUCACUUGGGUCUCGAAAGACGAACAAAUGUGGCGUCUAAGGACUUCGAGAGAAGCUUACCUUAAUCAAUAGCUGGUUAAGCAAGUUAUAUUGCAUUGAAGCUCACACAUUGCUUAAUCGCCUAAUAUUACGUAGACCUUCCAUCACCUGUUUCUCGCAUACAAGUUAGUAUGCAUCUGCAUCUCACAUCCAUUUAUUCUCCUUUAAAGAUUCUCUAGGCGUACAUAUGUAGUUUUAAUCCUAGUUCUGAUUCUUUUAUACUUUAUUUAAUUAAUUCUUUUAUACCGCCUAAUUGAUGAGUAGAUUCUAGAACUAAGUUUUGAUAGCAAUUCCCUAUGUUGGACUCUGGAUCAUCUAGAUAAACCUACUGCUUCACUUAUACUUGGGCAAACAGUAGAAAAACUUGUACUCAUCAAGAACUUAGUAGUUAUGCGAUAAAGAGGUACAUAGUGAGUACUCCGCUUACAGUGAUCAUGACUAAUGAUUUAUUGCAUAGAAUUAAUUGUGCACUUAGUUAAAUCCUUAAGUCCUAAGUUAACUUACGCGUCACACCAACCAAAUUUUUGGCGCCGUUGGACAAAACACGACAACAAACAUAUGUACACCCCUAGAAUGUUUGUGAUGGUGAAUUAUCUAAGGUUAUUGUUAAAUUGUGAAGGCUAGCCAUUGGAUUAGGCUAAAGUGUAAAGGAUAAUUAUUUGCUUAUGCUUAGUGUGGGAAUUGUAUGAUAAAGAUUGUUUACAUGUUUAUCAUGGAUUACUGUUUAGACAUAAUUGAUGAUUUUACUAUGUAAAAUUAUUAAUUAUUUUUCUUAUCUUUAGGUUAAUUUGUGGGUUUUUGAUAGAUAUACCCAUAAAAUGUUAAAUAUUGGUUCAAAAAUAAAUUUAUUUUAGAUCUAAUUGGAGUUCUUUUUUCUUUUUUUUUCAGGAUUUAUUAGCAAAUUUUGGAAGAGUUAACUUGUGGAAUUUUUUCAUCAAAUGUUGAAUUGGUUUCAACCUCAAUUUAGCAUAAGUUAAAUUGAAAA
This 32697-nucleotide long non-coding RNA is filed under the name Cucumis sativus (cucumber). Its description in RNAcentral is "long non-coding RNA (CSAT_LNC001883)". Lineage: Eukaryota; Viridiplantae; Streptophyta; Magnoliopsida; Cucurbitales; Cucurbitaceae. The record is from RNAcentral.